RNAcentral lists this ribosomal RNA (484 nucleotides) under uncultured bacterium. Its description in RNAcentral is "partial 16S ribosomal RNA". It matches the Rfam family "Bacterial small subunit ribosomal RNA", at positions 30 to 507 of the family's 1533-position model. The record is from RNAcentral.
AUUGAACGCUGGCGGCAUGCUUUACACAUGCAAGUCGAACGGCAGCACGGGCUUCGGCCUGGUGGCGAGUGGCGAACGGGUGAGUAAUAUAUCGGAACGUACCCAGAAGUGGGGGAUAACGUAGCGAAAGUUACGCUAAUACCGCAUACGAUCUAUGGAUGAAAGCAGGGGACCGCAAGGCCUUGUGCUCCUGGAGCGGCCGAUAUCUGAUUAGCUAGUUGGUGAGGUAAAGGCUCACCAAGGCGACGAUCAGUAGCUGGUCUGAGAGGACGACCAGCCACACUGGAACUGAGACACGGUCCAGACUCCUACGGGAGGCAGCAGUGGGGAAUUUUGGACAAUGGGCGCAAGCCUGAUCCAGCAAUGCCGCGUGAGUGAAGAAGGCCUUCGGGUUGUAAAGCUCUUUUGUCAGGGAAGAAACGGUAGAGGCUAAUAUCCCUUGCUAAUGACGGUACCUGAAGAAUAAGCACCGGCUAACUACGUG